UUCGUUCUCACAGCUGAGAGAAAACAGCAGUGCAGAGAGGUUAUGUGACUUGCUGGAUCGCAGGUCCCCAGCGAGCGAGGACUGGGAGUCACCUCGCACGGCCCUCCACAAAUAUUUGAUGCUCCAGCUUCUUGAGUCAAUUAUCCCUUUCGGAAAACUGGAGAGAGAAAUGAUAUAAUUAACUACCUGAGAGAAAAUGAGCAGAGCAGCAAGCUAUAAAUACCAAGACACACGACGGAGACUGAAACCCCGGGGCCCCACUUGACCUUACCCAGUUAAGAGUGGUCUGAGGCCUCCCUGGUUGGAAGAAACCAGUGAGGCCAAGCCCAGCUCAUGCUCAGAGCCGCAGCCUUCACAUAGCAUGGCAAGAAGCGGCUCAGCCAGCCCCCAGGCCCCAGGGCCAGCAGGCCAGGAAGCAACACCCUCUGCCCGUCUCUGCCAAGUGGCCGGGAUCAGAAUCAACAGGCCAGAAGGGCUAAUUCUUCCCUCACACACUGUGCCCAGGACCAGAUGCUCUGCCCCGAGUGUGGGGCCUGGACACAGUUGCGUCGCUGGAUCCUUCCACCCCAUCUUCAACCACGGACCAGAUAAACGGAGUUGAACACACUUCAAAGCCAACACUGAGCACGGCCAUCUGGGAUUCAUUCCUGAGCGGGCCUUUUCCAGUUAUGUAACCAGGGAGAUCCAGACAGAGAGACACAGAUUGGAAGAAGUUUCCUUUUUUUUAAACUCCGAACCUUUACAGUAUUGGGAUAAUUAUGGCUUUCAUAGCGUUGAUUACUUUAAGCUGUCAGUAAUUUGAGUCUUUUUCAGAAUCAGUGACCAGCUUUCUGUAAUUGUGUUCUCUCUCCCCACUUCCAUCCGUAAGUAAAGGAAACACAAUCCCCAGCUCACGGGGUUUCCCUCCCAGCACCUCGCCCGGGCACUUCGCUGCCACGCCCGAAGGCCGCAGUGGACACACCUUCCCGGCGUCCUCCGGGCUCGUGACACACUUGCUUCCCGAGGCACAGUCUUAUUAGGGAACGUCCAUUCCUCCCCGAACUGAAGGAAGGAGCCGGGUGAAGCCUGGGGUGGCCGGGCCUUUUGCUGUGAAUCAUUCAGGAUCACCCAAAACGUUCUGGUUCACGGAUAGAGGGCACUGGCAAAUACGAGAUACUUUAAGAAAUGGUAUUUGCCACACAUUUGCAAUUUUUAAAUGUUUUCUUUUCUGAUUAUGUAACUAAUACCUGUCAGUGUGAAAAUUCUCAGCAGUGUGAAGAAGAAAAUAAUUAUCCCAAAUCCUUGCCUGGGAGAAUUGUUCAAACAAAAAGUGACGCUAACAUUUUAGCACAUUGCCCUCCAGCCUUCACCUUGGGUAUGUUUGCAUUUCUAGAGUUGAAACUAUAUUUUAUAGUUUUAUAAUUUUGUAUCUUGCAUUUCUCCUUAACAAUUUGCCCACAUAAUAAAAAAAUGUUUAACCUUAGUUUUCAAUAGCAACACAGGUUCAAAUGAAGUCAAUGUAUAAUUUUUUUAAAAAAUCAAAUCCUGUAUUAUAGUUCAAAGGCUGUGUCCAACAUUUAAAUCCACACUGAAUUUCUUUGGCUGUAAAUUUCUAUCUGUAUUUCUUAUUGCUUUCAUAGAAGCUAUUCCCAGAAGGGUAAUCAACUCUGCAUCAAAGAGCAUGAAAAUUGUUUAAUGUUCUAAUACACUUCAGAAACAUUGAGUGACCUUUUCACCCAAGUAUGAAUAUUUUUUUAAACCUUACUACUUUGAUGAGUAAAAAAGUAGACUUUCAUAUUUACAUUAAUUUACUCUUCUUUAGCUAUCAAAGUAAUUCUUUUUUCAAAUCCUUAUUAGCAUUUUACAUUUUAUUCCUUCUUGAAGUAGACAUUGUGUGAGCCCGUGGACGGAGGCUGAGGAUGAUUAUGAGAUUCCUGGUACAAAGAUGCUCCCAGCUCAAUGCAGGUGACCCCAUGGCGAGAGCAGUGAGGGUCUGUGGAGGUUAGCUGAGCUACCUCAUCCAGAGGAGGAGCAGGUUGGGGGUGGUACCCGUUCCUGGUGAUGUUAGUUACCUAUUGCUGUGUAACAAAUUGCACAUUUAAAUGGAGACCCAUUAAAACGGAAUACCUUUUAAACCUGAUUGUGCGUGGUGGUGGUAGCAGUAAACUGAAGCAGGCACCGCCACACAGAAGCUGUCUGAGCUUGGCAAUCCCACAUUCUGGCUUCAAGCCAUGCGGUGCGACUGGUGCCAGGAGGGGGUGCAGGGAGAAGGAAAAGGCUGGACAGCUGGUAAAGGCCCGCCACCCCAGGUGGGAUGGGAAUGACAGGACAGAUUUUUAAGUAGGAGCGGGUGAGUGAGACAUGGGGAACUCCAUCCUGGAAGGGGUGCUUGGGGCUAGGAGGGAACAGGAAACAGGUGUCAUGGGUAAGGCCUGUGACCUGACCAGGACUUUUGAAUCUAAAAAUAUAUGUGUCAGGGGGUGUGAUUAUUAAAAUGUAGGAAUAUUACCCAAAAAUGAUGUUGACAUCAACGCUAAUUUUGGAUGCUGGAAAAUUAACCUAAUUAGCUCUUGCCUUUCCCUCCACACACUUUCCCUCGGCGGUUUCCUUGGUCCUGUGCCAUCACCUGCUUCUUUGGCAUGGCUGACUCCUAGAUCUGUAUUUCCAGCCUUGCCAUUUUCCUGCCACAUCUCCAACCUCCUGCUUGACAGCUCAGCCUGGUGGACUUCUCAGCACCUCAAACUUAGUAUGUACAAUACAGAACUUAUUUUCCUCCAAAACCUGCCAUCUUCCUUGCUGUCUCUUCUGGUCAAAGCGCCACCAGGCAUCCAGCCUGGGGCCCGAGGAGGGGAAGCCCAUGUGUCACAGAGAUAUGGCGUGCUCUGUGGGGAGGAACUUCAUGUGUGAGCAGAAGCAGGCAGCUGGCGACAAGCUGAAGAAAGGCGUUCAUCCCACACACAUGUGGGAAGCACCUCGGGUGCUCCAGGAGCUGCGUUUCUGGGCAUGGGGGCUCACUGGUGAAUAAGCCAGACGAGGUUCUCUGCCCCCCGGAGCUUUACUCAACAGGCCCCCAGGGUCGGCCCAGGAACAGCAAGCGGACCCUCUUACCAGAGCAUCAGGUAAAGCCUGUCCCUGUUUUGUCCUGCUGUGAGCUAACGAGUGUGCUGCUGUCAGCGUGGGGUCUGGAGCGUCAGACAGGGGGGUGACAUCACGGGGAACGGCAAGAAGCAACAAGCCCCAAAGGAGAUGACUAAGCAAGUAUGGCGGGCUGAGUAACGGCCCCCGAAAGGUGUCCACGUCUUCAUCCCCAGAACUUGUGAAUAUGUUACCUUACAUGGCAAAGGAACUUUCUAGAUGUAAUUAAGGAUCUUAAAAUGGUGAGAUUACACUAGAUUAUCCGGACGGGCCCAAUGUCAUCACAAGGACCCUGUGAAAGGGAGGCAAGUGUAAAGACAGGAGGAGGGGAAGGAUGAUGGAAGCAGAGGUUGGAGUGAUGCAGUUUGAGAUGGAAGAAGGGGCCAUGAGCCAAGGAACACAGGCAGCUUCUGGAAACUGGAAAACUCAAGGGAACAGAUUCUGCCCUGGAGCCUUCCCAAGGAAGGCAGGCCUGCGGACACCUUGAUUUUACCCCAUAAGGUUCGUUUUGGACUUCUGAUCUCCAGAGCUAUGAGACGAUAAAUUGGUGUCGUUUGACCCACUGUGCUUGUGUGACAACAGCAAUGGGAAACGAACCUAGCAGGCAGGCGGCUGGCUUGCCCCAGCUCCGGAGGUGUUGCAGGAGGACUCUUGACGACACAGCAAACACAGGAGCACCCACGGAGCAGAUUCCCUCGCCCUGAGUCCCGGGGAGAUGUGACGGGCCACAGUGACUCGUGCUGCAGUUAAGGAACCCAGGCUGGCGCUCAGCAGCUUUUGCAUCAAGCAAUAGCAGCCCCACCCUCAUGCGGGAGGGAGUGGAUGGACAGUAGUCCUGCUGCAUCACUGGACCUGCUUGGCUGUCUACGGGACCAGCUACAGCUGCAGCAGCAGCUCAGGCUCCGCUGGGCACGGACGUGCACAGACGCAGGGCCGGCUGGAUGGCCGCGGAGCUCACCUAGCCAACCCUCGGGCCCCCAGCCAGCUGCAGCGUCAGUGGGCGGCGGGGCCCAGGAGACGCACGUGUUCGGGCCAAGCCAGUGCCGUUUUGUCCUCCGGGCAGCUCCCUGCAGCUGCCGGGCUCCAUGAGUUCUUCCCGGAGGUCAAGAGCUGGGACUGCACAAGGGCUGGGAGAGUUCCCACAUGGUCUGCACAAAUGCCGCAGCGUCCAGGCAGAGCAGGGCCAGCGGCAGCUAGAGAUGCUCCCGACGGGCCAGGCUGGCCUCAAGGGCGCCUCUGUGCAGGCAGCUGGCUGGUUGACUCGAGGGCCAUGAGAGACCAGAGGCUGGGGGAACGACCAGCAGCCUCCAAGGAGGGCCCGAGGCUCUGCCUCCUCCUGCCGGGGCAGGUGUGUGGAGUGAGACAGUGGGAAGAACUGCCUCUCAGAUACUCCCCUGACUGCAGGGUUUGCGUUUCCGCCUCAGAGCAAGCUCCUGGGGCCUGGGCACGAGGAACUGAUGCCGACCCCGGGUCUGGGAGUUCAGAGGCCGGACAGUCAAGGAGUUAAGAGUGUGCAUGUCUGCCUGGACCCUGUUCUAUCUCACGAACUUAAGAAAAUCUCACUAAGAAAAAAGCAGACUGAAAAACAAUAUGUAUAGUAAGAUACCUUUUUUUGCUUAGAACUUUUAAAAAAUCUCUAUGUAUUUAGAAGAGCAUAGAAAAAAAAACCUACUGAAGAUUCCACCUUGCACUGAUUAUGACGGUCACCCCUGAGGACUGAGACUGACUUUAAGUGUGUGUUACUUUUUUUUUGGCUAAAACAUAAAGAUUUUUAAAAAUGUUCAAAGCACUCUAACUUCUAAUCCUACGGGAAAGAAUGUUCAUGUUUUAUCGAAAGAGAGACCAAAAUGUGCGGAGGGUCAUCUCUUCUGAAGGUCGUGAUAACUUCCUAACUUUUCAUCAAAUGGUCUCCAACCACCAGGCCAGUGGUAUGUAUUGAGAGCUACGCUUACUUCACGGGCUGUAAGUACAGCAGCAACUGGGACACGACUGCUAACGUGGUGGAAAGAAGUUAUGGCACAAGAAGGAUUUUUUUUAAGUCACCUAAAGUUCCUGUCAGAGUGGGAGCCUCAGCCUCUGGCGUUUCCUUCGUCAAGGUUGGCUGCUACGGCCUAUUCUUCACCUCAAUGCUUUCUUUCUAUUCCUUAUCGUGUGUAGAAUGCCCAUUUAACAUGAGGUGGUCAUGUGAUGUUUUUCCUGGAAAUUUAUUAUAAUUGCAAUGGUAGAUAUAUAAUCUAUACACACAAAGAAAAUAAACCUUCUAAUGAGGACUCAGGCUAACCACCUUAGGGAAUUGCUGUUUUUGAUUGUAUUUUAAGGCCAUUAAAAUAUCUGUUUAGUGAUUUAUUCACCCUGUAGACAGAUGUAGGGAUCAGUCUAUUUUUCACGUUACAGUGGAGUUUUCUUUUCAAAUAUUCUCCCUGGCCUUGUGGUGAAAUGUGCAUUAUGAUACUUCCUCAUCGUGACACAUGCAAAAGCGUUAUUCAUCAAAUGGUAUUUUCAAGCGUACUUCUCAUUAUUCUUUCAAGCACAUAAACAUAGCAAAGCCCUAGACUCUUGCCACAAUAUCAAAAGAAUUGAAGAUGUGGUGGAGCGCCUGACCUGCAUGGACCUGGAUUUUCGGGACAAGGUCACCGUAUUUCACAUGAACUUCUCUCCUGUUCUUUUCCCUUCUCCUCCCUCCCCCACGCCAAAUACAUAACUGUACUUGGUCUGAUGCUAAAUCAAGGUAAAUGAGACGUGACCUAUUAAAAAAGGAAAUGAAUUAUCGAAAGGGGAAAAUUGCAUUCCCGGCCGGGAGUGUGGACGUCAUGGCUUGAAUGUGUGUGUCUGUUCUGCCACUUCACUAGAUGGUCUUGCUUUUUGGGUGGCAUGUCUUCCAUCAUCCAAAUUGCCUCAUGAAGUCAGCAAAGUCAGUCAGACCAUGUUUUGGAGCUAUCUACUUUGUAUUUUUUUCCAAGGUUCUUUUUAAUGAAUGAAUGUAGUUAUAGCAGACCCGUCUUUAAGGGGUCUCUGGGAAUAGUCCUUAUUAAAUUCCCUACAACUUGAUCUAAGUCGGGAGUUAAAUGAUCUGUGUGAGCAGGCACACAGGUCAGGGUUUCACGGGCCAAACUCUUACUAGACUCCCGAAUAUCUUCCAAGUGCCAGUGGAGCCUGCCUGUCCUUCCAGCGGACUGUGGAGGAGGACGUAGGACUGUGAAGUUACUCCCAGGAAGUCACCCCAGGCAGUUCCUUCACAUCCUUGGGGCCAGCCUGAAUGGCACUGGACUCAUCCAAGGAGCCAGGUCUUUGCAAGUGGAGCAAAGAGCUGGAGGGCAGAGAUUCUCGGGCUGCAGGACCGGGAGAACGUUGUCCACGGUACUCUCCAUUAAAUGUCAGUGACCAGCUGGGCUUUGACCAGGCAACAAAGAGAAUCUGAUAGCCCAAGGAGGGGGCCAGUUCCUUAGGCUCUGUCCCUUGUCACUGUCUUGCCAUUUGUUGCAUUGUGGUCAUUCCAUAGCUUUUUCCUUUCUUUUUUUCUCUGUUUACUUGUAACAAAAGGGGAGGGGAGACAAACAGUUUUGGUACAUUAUAAUCAUUGAUAUUAUUUCCUUAUGGAAUGAAUAGUUCCUAUUAUUUCUAGCCAAUCCAGAUCAUUGUUGAGAAUAAUAAUAAAUAAAUCUUCCAUAUUAUGAUUGAAGCAAUCAUUAGAAAACAAACUUUCAUCGUGAGAUGUUUUGUAUUAGUCUUUUUAAAGCGGUGUGGGUGUGGUAGGGAGAAAGCCCCCUCAGGACUGGGCUGCCUCAGGAGGCACCCAGGGUGGGCGGGGAGCGCUCUCUGCAGCGAGAGCCCUUCUCAGUCAGGGGUCCUAGGGUUCUUACUUUGAAAUUACUUAAAGAGUGAAAUCAAGGAAGGAGAUGUGUUUGCAGGUGUCUUACAAAACCUGAAGUUGCAAAGCAGGUAGUGACUUGCCAGUGACAGCCAAAAGCAAGGUGCAAGGACCUUGUGAGUUUGCUGUUUCUCAGCUUCAGGCCGUAGUAUAAAGUUUUGGGAAAGUCAAUUCUCUUAGAAAAAGGACUCAGCUGUACUAAGUAUCAUGAAACAGCGAUACUUUAUCCUUAACGUAUUUUGUUUUUAGUGCAGUGGAGUCAGUUCUGACUCCCAGCAACCCUGGGACGGCAAAGCAGACCUCUGCUGGGUCUUUCUGUGCCAUCCUUUCGCCUUCUGGGGCUGUAUCAGACAGCGCUCCUCAGAUAUUCACAGGGUUUUCAUGGCCGAUUUUUCAGCAGUGGGUGGCCAGGUCCUCCUUCCUGGUCUUACUCUGGAAGCUCCACUGAAACCUGUCCACUAGGGGUGACCCUGCUGGUACUUGCAAUCCCCGUGGCAGAGCUUUCAGCAUCACAGCAGCAUGCAGCCACCACAGAGUGACAGCCGACAGACCGGUGGGGUGGCUCCCUGACUGGGACGUGAACUCGGGCCGUGGCUGUGAAAGAGCCCAGUGUUAACCACUAGACCACCACCUUGAUAUAUAAAUGCCCCUAAAUUUUUCAGAAAUCAAGAAAGAACUUAUUAAGAGUCUGGCGUUUAUAGAAUUACUAAACAGUGUCAAGUCACUGCCAGAGAUCGCCUCUAACACAGAACCUGCAAAUUAACGUAAGCAUUGAAUGCUAGUGAUUACCAUCGUUACAAUCAUGAUUGAAAUGGCCUACCUGUGCUUUUUACUCACACAUAGAUAUUUGCCUUAGAAAUAUGCCUGCUAAUUGCUAAGUUCUGAAAUAUAUAGGCUUGAGCUAAAUUUGGAUUUACUCUCUCUCUCUCUCAUGAUUAAAAACAACAACAUAACAGCUUUUUGGACUAUUUAUAAUAGCCCCAAACUGGAAACAACUCGAGUGUCCAGCAACAGAUGAGUGGAUGAGCGAAUUAUGGUGUCCAUAUAAUAGAAUACUACUCAGCAAUAGAAAAGAAUAAACUACCGCUAGACACAGCAACAUGAAUGAAUCUCAAAAACAUCAUGCUGAGAAAAAAACAGGCACAAAAGACUACACGCUGCCUGAUUCAAUAUGUAUGAAAUUCUAGAAAAAACAAAACGAAUCUGUAUUGACCGAAGGCGGAUCAGUGUUUGCCUGGGGCUGGGGUGGGGGAUUGCCAGCAAAGGAGCACAAAGCAGCUUUCUGGGUGAUGGAAUGUUCUGUAUCAUGAUUGUGGUUGUAAGGGUGUUUGCAUUUACCAAAAUGCAUCAAACUGUAUACUUAAAACGGGGGUAUUUUACUGAAUGUAAAUUUAUCUCAAUGAACUUGGUGUUGAAAGAAGAG
This 8405-nucleotide long non-coding RNA is filed under the name Equus caballus (horse). RNAcentral's name for it is "lncRNA (ENSECAG00000048164.1)". Lineage: Eukaryota; Metazoa; Chordata; Mammalia; Perissodactyla; Equidae. The record is from RNAcentral.